UACGGAGGGUGCGAGCGUUGUCCGGAAUCACUGGGCGUAAAGGGCGCGUAGGCGGUCUGUUAAGCGUGUGGUGAAAGCUCGGGGCUCAACCCCGAGUCUGCCAUGCGAACUGGUGGACUUGAGCACUGUAGAGGCAGGUGGAAUUCCGGGUGUAGCGGUGGAAUGCGUAGAGAUCCGGAAGAACACCGGUGGCGAAGGCGGCCUGCUGGGCAGUUGCUGACACUGAGGCGCGACAGCGUGGGGAGCAAACAGG
RNAcentral lists this ribosomal RNA (253 nucleotides) under uncultured bacterium. RNAcentral describes it as "partial 16S ribosomal RNA". It matches the Rfam family "Bacterial small subunit ribosomal RNA", at positions 524 to 776 of the family's 1533-position model. The record is from RNAcentral.